This 581-nucleotide long non-coding RNA is filed under the name Falco tinnunculus (common kestrel). RNAcentral's name for it is "lncRNA (ENSFTIG00000001999.1)". Lineage: Eukaryota; Metazoa; Chordata; Aves; Falconiformes; Falconidae. The record is from RNAcentral.
GCAAGCAAAACAAAGUCUGCCUCCCCAAAGGUUUAGUUCUGCAUUAUAGAGCUUAACUAAUUAACUGGUUUUGGUGAUGUUUGAGGAUAUUCAAAUAUCCUGUGCUCUGCUCAUGUUCCAUUAUUUAUUCAACAGGAACGAGGUCUCACUGCAGUGUUUUCCUGCGAUGUUUUAAAGCAUCACAGAAGCUUGUCUUGAGCCAAGAAUAUAGUAACAUCAUACUGGAAAUCAUGGGAAGAGAGGCUUGUUCCUAUCCAAGCAUAGAAAGAAUAAUAAUAAUAAAAAGGCUUUGACGUGGAGAGGACUCACCUUGAUAACAGAUGGAACAUCCCAACACAUGCUGACCUGCCAGAGAUACCACCUCCUAUCAUCAGCUUGCAAGAACAGGCCACUGCUUCUGUGCUUGAUGCCUGUUUUGUUUUAUUUUGUUUUGGUCUUGCACCUGCAACAGUGAUGUUCUGAGAGGCCCUAGAAGACACAAUGCACCUUCUGCUCUUUAUUGCAGGAGCGGGACUUAAGUGAUAAGAGUUGUGGAGCAUUAGUGGAGGAUGCUCGGUGCUAGAGGGGAGGAGGGAUAUUUU